UACGUAGGGGGCAAGCGUUGUCCGGAAUCAUUGGGCGUAAAGAGCGUGUGGGCGGCCCGGUAAGUCCGCUGUGAAAGUCCAGGGCUCAACCCUGGGAUGCCGGUGGAUACUGUCGGGCUCGAGUCCGGAAGAGGAGUGUGGAAUUCCUGGUGUAGCGGUGAAAUGCGCAGAUAUCAGGAGGAACACCAAUGGCGAAGGCAGCACUCUGGGACGUGACUGACGCUGAGACGCGAAAGCGUGGGGAGCAAACAGG
Molecule: ribosomal RNA, 253 nt
Filed under: uncultured bacterium
Lineage: Bacteria
Description: partial 16S ribosomal RNA
Rfam family: Bacterial small subunit ribosomal RNA
Source: RNAcentral